Molecule: ribosomal RNA, 460 nt
Filed under: uncultured bacterium
Lineage: Bacteria
Description: partial 16S ribosomal RNA
Rfam family: Bacterial small subunit ribosomal RNA
Source: RNAcentral
CCUACGGGUGGCUGCAGUGAGGAAUAUUGGUCAAUGGCCGCAAGUCUGAACCAGCCAAGCCGCGUGCGGGAAGAAGGCGCUGAGCGUCUCAGACUGCUUUUGCAGGAGGGCAAAAGGCCGUACUCGUCUCUUCCUGAGAGUAUCCUACGAAUACGGAUCGGCUAACUCCGUGUCAGCAGCCGCGGUAAUACGGAGGAUGCAAGCGUUAUCCGGAUUUAUUGGGUUUAAAGGGUGCGCAGGCGGGCCUAUAAGGUAGCGGGGAAAUCCCCGGGGUCAACCUCGGAGUUGCCUGCGAAACUGGGGGGCUAGAGUGCGGCGGCGGUAUGCGGAAUGUAUGGUGUAGCGGUGAAAUGCGUAGAUAUCACGCAGAACACCGAUUGCGAAGGCAGCGUGCCGUGCCGCCACUGACGCUGAGGCACGAAAGCGUGGGGAGCAAACAGGAUUAGAUACCCGGGUAGUC